Non-coding RNA from Phascolarctos cinereus (koala), 283 nucleotides. NCBI's taxonomy places the organism in Eukaryota, Metazoa, Chordata, Mammalia, Diprotodontia, Phascolarctidae. The record is from RefSeq and is a predicted model, not a curated record.
CAACAAUUUUCCUUUUCCUCUUCCCUCCAGGGACAGGCAUAGCAGGAGACAGAAGGCCUGUGAGCAAAAGCCUGAGAAAACAGAUGGGUCUCCCUUAGUGACCUGCAGAUCAACAGCCUCCCUGCCUGGCAGCUGGACCAGAAGGAGUUCAGGACUCAGGGCUCUGCAUCAGAAACAUGCUGCGUCCAUCCCCUGGAGUUCAAAAUAUCACUUUAUGUCAAACCUUCGUCAUCUCUUGCCAAGAUCAUUUCAACAACCUCCUAAUUAGUCUGCUUGGAUCAAG